CGUUUUAGAAACAUUCAGGGGCCAACAGUUUCAGGAUUGUUGAGCUCCAUUGGCGGGAUUUCGCCGUCUUCGUUUCUCUUUCUUCGCGGACGAACACGCGCCAGGGCUGAGCGCUGUGCGAUGCACCGACUUCAGGUCGAGUGCGCGCCGGCAUGUCUCUCGUGUUAGGGGCUUGUAGCUCAGUUGGUUAGAGCGCGCGCUUGAUAAGCGUGAGGUCGGAAGUUCAAGUCUUCCCAGGCCCACCAUUUUGAUCGAGUGCGGAGCAUUCGUCUUCUGGUACGGGGCCAUAGCUCAGCUGGGAGAGCGCGUGCUUUGCAAGCAUGAGGUCGUCGGUUCGAUCCCGUCUGGCUCCACCAGAUGGAAUUGAAGCUCGAGAAUGCGCCUUUGCAGGAAUCUCUGUUCAUAUCGUCCGCGAAACAUCACUUCGCACUCAUUGGUCCGGAUGGACGGUGACGUGCGUGUUUUCUGACAUCGUAAAGAGGAGAUCGAUCCGAGUUUGGGUCAAGCGAAGCAAUUCGCCUGAGCCAUUCAUUAUCUCCGGGAUCAUUUCGGCGCUCGCUUUCAAUCGCAAGAUUGGAUGCGGGUUGUAAAUGAUCUCUUUUAGCGAAGCUUGACCGCCUCGCUAUCGGGCCGAUCUUACGAAGCAAGCUGGUCUUUCUAGUCAAUGUCCGGCUGCGCAAUCGCAUUCAUCGAGGAUGCGUGCCUGAGACUUCGGUCUUCGGGCGGUUGUGCAGACAACAUUCUGCCGAGUGUGUGGACAUUGAUAAUGAGAGCAAUCAAGUGCCUUAAGGGUGUUCGGUG
RNAcentral lists this transfer RNA (801 nucleotides) under Bradyrhizobium sp. SEMIA 6440. RNAcentral describes it as "partial contains 16S-23S ribosomal RNA intergenic spacer and 23S ribosomal RNA". The stretch from base 169 to 242 matches the Rfam family "tRNA". The record is from RNAcentral. Lineage: Bacteria; Pseudomonadati; Pseudomonadota; Alphaproteobacteria; Hyphomicrobiales; Nitrobacteraceae.